UGAAUACGAGAUGCUACGGCGUCGAAGCAGUGUAUGUCAGACUUCCAAGAAAAGCUCGCAAUGUCAUAAAUAAAGAAUGCCUGUACCAUAACCGACACAGGUGGGUAGGUAGAGUAUACUAAGGGGCGCGAGAUAACUCUCUCUAAGGAACUCGGCAAAAUAACUCCGUAACUUCGGGAGAAGGAGUGCCUUCUUUAAGAAGGUUGCAAUAACAAGAUCCAAGCAACUGUUUAUCAAAAACACAGGUCUCCGCUAAGUCGUAAGACGAUGUAUGGGGGCUGACGCCUGCCCAGUGCCAGAAGGUUAAAGAAGUUGGUUAGCUUUUGCGAAGCUGAUGACUGAAGCCCUGGUGAACGGCGGCCGUAACCAUAACGGUCCUAAGGUAGCGAAAUUCCUUGUCGGGUAAGUUCCGACCCGCACGAAAGGCGUAAUGAUUUGGAUACUGUCUCGGAGAGGGACUCGGUGAAAUAGACUUGUCUGUGAAGAUGCGGACUACCUGCACCAGGACAGAAAGACCCUAUGAAGCUUUACUGUAACUUGAAAUUGAAAUUGGACUUUAUUUGCGCAGUAUAGGUGGAAGGCGUUGAAAGUAAUCUUGCGGGAUUAGUGGAGCCAUCAGUGAGAUACCACUCCUAUAAUGUUAGAUUUCUAACUUUGGAUCAUGAUCUGGUCAAAGAACAGUUUCAGGCGGGCAGUUUGACUGGGGCGGUCGCCUCCCAAAUGGUAACGGAGGCGUACAAAGGUUUCCUCUGAACGGGUAGAAAUCGUAUCUAGAGUGUAAAGGCAUAAGGAAGCUUGACUGUGAGACCUACAAGUCGAGCAGGGACGAAAGUCGGUCUUAGUGAUCUGACGGUGCUGAGUGGAAAGGCCGUCACUCAACGGAUAAAAGUUACUCUAAGGAUAACAGGCUGAUCUCCCCCAAGAGUUCACAUCGACGGGGAGGUUUGGCACCUCGAUGUCGGCUCAUCGCAUCCUGGGGCGGUAGUACGUCCCAAGGGUUGGGCUGUUCGCCCAUGAAAGCGGUACGCGAGCUGGGUUCAGAACGUCGUGAGACAGUUCGGUCCAUAUCCGGUGUAGGCGUUAGAAUAUUGAGAGGAGCCUUCUUUAGUACGAGAGGACCGAGAAGGACAUACCUCUGGUGUACCAGUUAUCGUGCCAACGGUAAACGCUGGGUAGCUAUGUAUGGAGAGGAUAACCGCUGAAAGCAUCUAAGUGGGAAGCCCACCUCAAGAUGAGUAUUCUCAU
This 1245-nucleotide ribosomal RNA is filed under the name metagenome. Its description in RNAcentral is "bacterial LSU rRNA". It matches the Rfam family "Bacterial large subunit ribosomal RNA", at positions 1564 to 2817 of the family's 2925-position model. The record is from RNAcentral.